UGCCAUAUGGAGAUGGGUGACACCGAUUAAGAAGUCGCAGCCUUCAGCUCAUGAUGUUUUCGUUGGCAACUGGAAGCCGACUAAGAACGACACCCUGUCAAAGCGUGUUCCCGGGUUUGGCUCGACAAUGAACCUUCUCUAUGGUGACAGCGUUUGCGGCCAGGGGGAUAUCGAUCCCAUGAACAGCAUCAUCUCACACUACCUUUACUACCUUGACUUGAUGGGUAUAGGCCGGGAGGAUGCCGGGACUCAUGAUGUCUUGACUUGCGAGGAGCAAGCUCCAUUCAACCCACCAAAGGCCAAGCCUAGUCAAUCCUCGUAAGCAGCUGCUUUCUAUAUUUCUUGUACUGGUCAGGUUCUAAAUAAACGGUAGCGUGGCGCUGAUCUUGAACCGUGUUUUGCUUUGUCUGUUUGUGGGUCUGUCCAUAGCCACUACUGUGCGUGUUUGUGUAUGUAGAGUUCUAGAUUCAUUGUGUCUAUAAAUAUACUUUUGAACGAGGUUGAAUUUACGAAUUGGAUUUGAAUGUAACGAUGCUUUUGUUAUAAUAUUGUAAUUUGUCAGUUAAAAAGUGAGCAUACGCUGUUAUGAGUUCAUGUUGUCAUGUGAUUUUUCUCUUUUCAACCCUGAACCUUUAUUUCAAAGUAGAUGCGCAAGAGCACAAAAAGUCACAACUAUGGUAAACAUAUAAUAUCAAACCCCAGAAAAAGCUUUGACCAUGUUGCUUUCUCCCUUAUCCUUGGUGUUGUUCUUCAUCAACAAGCUCUUCAGGGGCUUCAAUGGCACCAGUUCGGAAUGUGAACAUUCCCACUGCAUACCUCACUUCUUCUCCGCUCACCAUCACCCUAUGGUAACACAGACUUGAUUCUGUCGUUGCUCCAUGCCUGUCCCAACAAAAAAAUAGAACUCAGAUUGAAGACAGAAACAAAUUAUCAACACAAUUAAGAAUUUAUGAGCUAGGCGUACCAUGAUUGCAUCACCGGCGAGCACAAGAAACGAAGACAUAGAUGCAGGCUGGUAGCAAACCCAUCGACCACCGUCGUCGUCAUUCACCCGGACCUCCAACCCAUGAACAUGAUUCUGGUGAAGAAUGGACACGAAGCUCUUGUCCGUGUGCCCUUUGAAUCCAAGAUUGGUUUCAGAUCGGGACCUUCUGUACCUCAGCAGCCGCAGAAGGUAAGCGGUGGCACUUGAGUGAGCCUCAAACUUGGAUUCCUAGACCAUCCCAUAACUCUGAAACAGCAUCCUCACCACCAGCUUCUCCAACUCCGCUGCCAUCUUCGCGUAACCAUGCAUCACUUCGCAGAAAUUAAAGUUUCCUCGAGGCCACAUAAGGUUCGUGAAAUCCUCACAGGCCUCCCUAUUGUCUGCGUACUCGAUCUCGAGGCCUUCGUGGAUGGGGAGAACAAAUAGUUUGCCCAUGUAGCCAGUGAGCCGGUUUUGGGUUGACGUUCCUCAUCUUGGUUUCUUGUGGGAGGCUGAACAGUUGCUCCAGUGAUUCCAGAAUGGAGUUGUGGAAUUCAGGUGAUGGUUGUGGUACACGAUUUCGAGGCAUCCGUAGCCUUCCAUGGCUCUUCUGAUCUAAGUGCAGAGCAGGGGAUCCAGUAAGCAGAGAUUCUCCAGAUAGAUCAACCUUUGGGAUUCUGGAAUCUGUAGUCUCUUCCGAACCCAUUUGCUAUUUAUAUCUAUGUCUGUUUCUCUUUCGUUUUGUGUUCACUUCUCCAUAAUCCUUUCUUGUACUGGACUCUUUUAUAGGCAUUCGUCAACUGUUUUGAAAGAUCGAGAUGACACAAGUAAAAUUAAUCAUCAACCCAUCCCGUGACAUCGGUAUGUUAACUAAAAUUAUUAAGGUACGGAAUUCAUAUUUAUAAUGAUGGCAAGGACAACUGUCGAUAAUCAUCCAAUAAUUACAUUUUUUAUAGGACGAAAACGAUGAUGACAUAAACAACACUAAACUGUUCUAUCAUGACAGCAGAUGCUAAACUUGCAAGCAAGUGGCUCUGUCAGAGUUAGCGAUAGGGAGGUUGACGAAUUAAACAUUACAUUUUAUAGUUCGGUCCAGUAAUAUUUUGAAAACUUAUCCUCAUAUAUUCAUACACUAUAUAACCAAAUAUCUUAUAGGAACAUUUCAGGGGAGAUUCACGAACACUUUGAUCUCAUAAUGAAUUCAUAAUGAAUUCCACUCGUAGCGAGGUAGGCUCGGCUCGUCCACCAGCUCUGCCGGUUGUGGACUUGUCAGGUGAAAACCUGAAUCCAGGAUCGAGCAGUUGGAGGAAAACCUGUGUCGAUGUCCGGGAAGCUCUGGAACAGCACGGGUGUUUCACGGUCGAGAACUAUCGUAAAACCCGAGGCUGUGAGUGUCUGCGGGGAAGCUCUGGUGGCGCUGAAGGAGUUGUUCGAUCCCCCCACUCGGCACCAAAAUGAAAAACAAGUAUGAAGAGCCAGGGCACGGUUAUGUGGGACAGAUUGCCAAACUUCCUCUCCAUGAAAGCAUGGGCAUCCACAAUGCAUCUCGAUCCGAUGCCAUAGCUGAUUUCACCGCUCUCAUGUGGCCUCAUCGCGGAAACCACUGCUUCAGGUAUUUAUAUUCUGUAAUGCUUCAGGUAUUUGUAUUAUAUGGGCAAAUUGAAGAACACUUUCUUAGAGUUACGUUUACAGACUAAACUAGUAUGAGAUCUUCUGGUAAGGAAUUAAAAUAAUACUAACCCAACAGUUAAUCCAAAAUAAUACAUAACAAUUCCACUCUUUCUGGCAGGGAGAAAGUGGAUAGAUACGCGAAGCUAGCAUCAGAGCUAGACAAAACAGUGACGAGGAUGAUAUUCGAAAGCUACGGAAUCGAUCAGAAGCACCACGACGCCUACGUGGAGUCCACGAGCCAUCUACUCCGGCCGCUGAAGAACAGAGCUCCGGUCGGAGACGAACCUCAUUUGGGGUUCGUCAGUCACACCGACAAGAGUUUCACUACCAUACUCCAUCAGAACCAGGUAGAGGGUCUGGAGAUCUACGCCGUUAAUAACAUCAACGGCUGUAACAAGAUCAGCGUCACAUUUUCAUCCCCGGCUUCGUUCGUGGUCGUAGCCGGAGAUGCCUUGAUGGCGUGGAGCAACGACAGGAUAAUUUCUCCGACGCACAGAGUGAUAAUGAACGGGGAAGUGGACAGAUACUCGAUGGGGCUGUUCGGGUUCAGCAAAGGGAUGAUUCAAGUGCCUCAAGAGUUUGUUGAUGAACAGCAUCCGUUGAGGUACAUGCCGUUCGAUCAUCUUGGACUGCUUCGCUUCUUCCGUACUGAGGAAGGUUGCAAGUCCUAGUGUCCUGUCAAGGCAUACUGUGGCAUUUGAUUCACUCUGUGGUUUGUAGCCUUUGACUGAGAAGGCCGAAUAAAUGUUAGCACCAAACGUUAUGGUGGACAUGUCCAAACUUUAAGUUCGCUUGUAUAUGGAAUAAUGGAUGUUGAAAUUGUAUUUUACGGGUAGUUUGUUUUCGAGAUUGAAUUUUUUGAAUAAUUGGAGUUUUUGCUUGAAUUUGUGAGGUUCAAUUUGGAAAAUGGACGACUGGUUAGAGACUGACUGAAACUCUCUUCCGAUUCUGUUGAGUUGGUUAACUAGAGUUGCUGUGUACAAUAUUACAGCGAUUGCUGGAAUGGUGUGUUCAAUUUGUAAUGGCUGCUUGGUUAGACUACUUAGGGAUGAACUGAUGAUGGCUAAUCAAGUAGCUACUUACUGACUGAUAAUAAAGUUGCUAUGUUGUAUGUGAUUAGUAGCUAAUGAAUUAGUACUUUGUACUUUGUUUUCUGUAGGUGGUUAUGGAGUGGCAACCGGAGGGAUCACCGCCUGGGGUCUAUGCUACAACAGGGAAAUGAGCCCUUCACAGUCCUACUGUGAUGGCUACUGCAAAGAUACAUAUCCUUGUUCUCCUGGAGCUGAUUACUAUGGCCGCGGUGCCAUUCCGAUUUACUGGUUACUACUUCGUCUCUCUUUGCUUCACAUCUCAAUUCUCACUUGAUCAUGUAAUUCCUGUUCUUUUCAUUCCAAUUUGCAUUCAACUGAUAAGCAAGGUGCAGCUUUUGGAAAACUUAUUGCUGUCAUUUUAGCUUGCUUCUUUGAUGGUUAUUAACAAGAAAGCGUUUGGAAAGGGCAUUCAUGUGGUUCUCUUUCCACCUAUGUUUGUAUCACUCAACCAUAUUCUCAACUUCUAUCAAUUACGAGUUGAGAACGUAUUUUUGGGUCGUUAUAAUAGCUCUGCUUCGGACUGCAGAUAUACUUAUUCUGCUUUGAUUUUCAGGAAUUAUAACUAUGGUACCGUUGGAGAAGCUAUCAAGGAGGAUUUGUUGAACCAUCCCGAGUACAUUGAGCAAAAUGCUACGCUUGCUUUCCAGGCUGCCAUAUGGAGAUGGAUGACCCCAAUCAAGAAGUCGCAACCUUCAGCUCAUGAUGUCUUCGUUGAAACUGGAAGCUGACUAAGAACGACACCCUGUCGAAGCGCGUUCCUGGUUUUUGGCUCAACAAUGAACAUUCUAUAUGGUGACAGCGUUUGCGGCCAGGGUGUUAUUGAUGACAUGAACAGCAUUAUCUCCCAUUACCUUUACUACCUUGACUUGAUGGGUGUAGGCCGGGAGGAUGCUGGGACUCAUGAUGUCCUCACUUGUGAGGACCAAGCUCUAUUCAACCCACCAAAGGCCAAACCUAGUCAAGCCUCGUAAGCAGCACCAAAUUUCUUGUACAGGUCAGGUUCCCAAUAAAGGCUGAUCUUGAGCUAUGUUUGCUUCAUCUAUUCGUGAGUGCGUCCAUGGUGUCCGGUACUACUACUGUGUGUUUGUGUAGAGUUCCAGAUUCAUUGCGUCUAUAAAUAUAUUUUGGAACGAGGUUGAAUGAUGAACUGAAUGCAACACUUGGUUAUUUAGUACAAUGCUGUAAUUUGGCCAAGUUCAUGAGUUGAAAUUGUCAUGUUCUUGUUCAUCUGGUUUCUCCUCCUUUUUAACAUUUUGUGAUGCGGACAAAGUGUUGACUUGGAAGUAUUGUGAUCGUCAAUCAUCUUCUACACUAAUGACACAUGUAUGCAUAGUAAGCUGAGCUUGUCUUUCCUCAGCUAUUGUCUCUCGUGUAAUACAGUGAAUAUACUAUUAUUCCAUCAUUGCAAUUAUCGCGUUUGUGUUUGCCUUUUUAAUUAUUACAGUUACAUAGACAAGGAAUUGCUUCCCCUAUGCGGCCCUCCUAUUAAGAAUUGACAGAAAAGCUUCAAAACCCGCAUUAUUCUGAUUAAUUAUUCUUCUAUAUUCGCCUUUCUAGUGUGCCUGUACUUAUUAUUGGCCAUGGGGAUGCU
RNAcentral lists this long non-coding RNA (5317 nucleotides) under Linum usitatissimum (flax). Its description in RNAcentral is "long non-coding RNA (LUSI_LNC004706)". The record is from RNAcentral. Lineage: Eukaryota; Viridiplantae; Streptophyta; Magnoliopsida; Malpighiales; Linaceae.